This 1011-nucleotide ribosomal RNA is filed under the name Testudotaenia cf. testudo. RNAcentral's name for it is "eukaryotic LSU rRNA". It matches the Rfam family "Eukaryotic large subunit ribosomal RNA", at positions 72 to 632 of the family's 3401-position model. The record is from RNAcentral. Lineage: Eukaryota; Metazoa; Platyhelminthes; Cestoda; Proteocephalidea; Proteocephalidae.
CGAUUCCCCUAGUAACGGCGAGUGAAGAGGGAAAAGCCCAGCACCGAAGCCUGCGGCAGGUUUGCUGUUAGGCAAUGUGGUGUUUGGGUCGGCUCGUGGGACUACCACUCCACUCGAAGUCCAGCAUUGAGUAUGGUUACUGGAUUUGGCCCAGAGAGGGUGAAAGGCCCGUACGGGUGGAGUAUCAGACAUGUGAGGUGGUUCACCAGGUCGACCUUAGAGUCGGGUUGUUUGGGAAUGCAGCCCAAAGUGGGUGGUAAACUCCAUCCAAGGCUAAAUACAAGCACGAGUCCGAUAGCGAACAAGUACCGUGAGGGAAAGUUGAAAAGUACUCUGAAGAGAGAGUAAACAGUACGUGAAACCGCAUGCAGGUAAACGGGUGGCGUCAAGCUGCAAGCCCGGAGAAUUCAGUCGGCUAGGUUGUUGUGUAUGCGCCUGGCGCAUCCAUCAGUCAGAGUAUGAUUGGGUAGUCCACUAGUAAAUAGUGGGCCUGUCCGCAAGGGCAGGAUAUGUGUACCGGGUGGGUGCCGGAGCAUGCUAUCCGUCUGAGGACUGUCUAGUCGGUGCACUUUCUCCGUGGUCGACACCACGACCAGUGGUAUUGCCAGUCUGUUGUGUCCAAGUCGCAUUUGGUAGGUCCUUGUGGUCAACCGAGUGCGAUCACAGGCAAACUCAGUAAACGGCGUGAGGGUGUUUCGGCACUCUCAUGUGUUAUCGGCUACUGGUUGUCAACGGGCCUGCUCUGUGUUUGUUGUAACCGACACGGGGUGGUCCGGUGGGGCACAAUGGUAAGAAUAACUGUGCAAGGCACUGGGGUUAUCGGCCUCAAAUGCGUCCUGCGUCCACGUUACAAGUGUAGGUACUGUGUCGCUGCUGCCUGCUCGGUGCUGGGUGUGAUUGGCGUGUCGCCUGCGCAAAGUAGGCCCGCCAAUGGCUCGGUUCGAGGUGGGUAGUUGGUGGCGUUGUCGACGGCGUAGGGCGUGGUGGGCCUAAUAGUCAGUGGUGUAGUGG